Molecule: ribosomal RNA, 497 nt
Filed under: uncultured bacterium
Lineage: Bacteria
Description: partial 16S ribosomal RNA
Rfam family: Bacterial small subunit ribosomal RNA
Source: RNAcentral
GAUGAACGCUGGCGGCGUGCCUAAUACAUGCCAGUCGAGCGAACGGACGAGAAGCUUGCUUCUCUGAUGUUAGCGGCGGACGGGUGAGUAACACGUGGAUAACCUACCUAUAAGACUGGGAUAACUUCGGGAAACCGGAGCUAAUACCGGAUGAUAUUUUGAACCGCAUGGUUCAAAAGUGAAAGACGGUCUUGCUGUCACUUAUAGAUGGAUCCGCGCUGCAUUAGCUAGUUGGUAAGGUAACGGCUUACCAAGGCAACGAUGCAUAGCCGACCUGAGAGGGUGAUCGGCCACACUGGAACUGAGACACGGUCCAGACUCCUACGGGAGGCAGCAGUAGGGAAUCUUCCGCAAUGGGCGAAAGCCUGACGGAGCAACGCCGCGUGAGUGAUGAAGGUCUUCGGAUCGUAAAACUCUGUUAUUAGGGAAGAACAUAUGUGUAAGUAACUGUGCACAUCUUGACGGUACCUAAUCAGAAAGCCCCGGCUAACUACGUG